GACGAACGCUGGCGGCGUGCUUAACACAUGCAAGUCGAACGGCAAGGCCCUGCUUGUGUGGGGUGCCCGAUUGGCGAACGGGUGAGUAACACGUGAGUAACCUGCCCUUGACUUUCGGAUAACUUCAGGAAACUGGGGCUAAUACCGGAUAGGAGCUCCUGCUGCAGGGUGGGCGUUGGAAAGUCUCGGCGGUCGGGGAUGGAUUCGCGGCUUAUCAGCUUGUUGGUGGGGUAGUGGCUUACCAAGGCUUUGACGGGUAGCCGGCGUGAGAGGGUGACCGGCCACAUUGGGACUGAGAUACGGCCCAGACUCCUACGGGAGGCAGCAGUGGGGAAUAUUGCACAAUGGGCGGAAGCCUGAUGCAGCAACGCCGCGUGCGGGAUGACGGCCUUCGGGUUGUAAACCGCUUUCGCCUGUGACGAAGCGUGAGUGACGGUAAUGGGUAAAGAAGCACCGGCUAACUACGUG
RNAcentral lists this ribosomal RNA (468 nucleotides) under uncultured bacterium. RNAcentral describes it as "partial 16S ribosomal RNA". It matches the Rfam family "Bacterial small subunit ribosomal RNA", at positions 28 to 507 of the family's 1533-position model. The record is from RNAcentral.